ACGGCGAGUGAACCGGGAAAAGCUCAAAUUUGAAAUCUGGCUGUCUUCGAUAGUCCGAGUUGUAAUCUAUAGAAGCGUUUUCCGUGCUGAACUGUGUCUAAGUCCCUUGGAACAGGGUAUCAAAGAGGGUGAUAAUCCCGUACUUGACACAACCAUCAGUGCUCUGUGAUACGUUCUCUACGAGUCGAGUUGUUUGGGAAUGCAGCUCAAAAUGGGUGGUAAAUUCCAUCUAAAGCUAAAUAUUGGCGAGAGACCGAUAGCGAACAAGUACCGUGAGGGAAAGAUGAAAAGCACUUUGGAAAGAGAGUUAAACAGUACGUGAAAUUGUUGAAAGGGAAACGAUUGAAGUCAGUCGUGUUCAUUGGAUUCAGCUAGUUCUUCUAGUCUACUUCCUUUGAACGGGUCAACAUCAGUUUUGUCCGGUGGAUAAAGGAUUUAGGAAUGUGACUCCCUCGGGAGUGUUAUAGCCUAGGUUCACAUACACUGGGUGAGACUGAGGACUGCAGCUCGCCUUUUGGCCGGGGUUCGCCCACGUUCGAGCU
This 542-nucleotide ribosomal RNA is filed under the name Apiotrichum montevideense. RNAcentral's name for it is "eukaryotic LSU rRNA". It matches the Rfam family "Eukaryotic large subunit ribosomal RNA", at positions 86 to 615 of the family's 3401-position model. Lineage: Eukaryota; Fungi; Basidiomycota; Tremellomycetes; Trichosporonales; Trichosporonaceae. The record is from RNAcentral.